This 718-nucleotide ribosomal RNA is filed under the name uncultured bacterium. RNAcentral's name for it is "bacterial SSU rRNA". It matches the Rfam family "Bacterial small subunit ribosomal RNA", at positions 771 to 1501 of the family's 1533-position model. The record is from RNAcentral.
AACAGGAUUAGAUACCCUGGUAGUCCACGCAGUAAACGAUGAUCACUAGCUGUUUGCGAUACAGUGUAAGCGGCACAGCGAAAGCGUUAAGUGAUCCACCUGGGGAGUACGCCGGCAACGGUGAAACUCAAAGGAAUUGACGGGGGCCCGCACAAGCGGAGGAACAUGUGGUUUAAUUCGAUGAUACGCGAGGAACCUUACCCGGGUUUGAACGCAUUCGGACCGAGGUGGAAACACCUUUUCUAGCAAUAGCCGCUUGCGAGGUGCUGCAUGGUUGUCGUCAGCUCGUGCCGUGAGGUGUCGGCUUAAGUGCCAUAACGAGCGCAACCCUUGCCACUAGUUACUAACAGGUGAUGCUGAGGACUCUGGUGGGACUGCCAGCGUAAGCUGCGAGGAAGGCGGGGAUGACGUCAAAUCAGCACGGCCCUUACAUCCGGGGCGACACACGUGUUACAAUGGCGUGGACAAAGGGAUGCCACCUGGCGACAGGGAGCGAAUCCCCAAACCACGUCUCAGUUCGGAUCGGAGUCUGCAACCCGACUCCGUGAAGCUGGAUUCGCUAGUAAUCGCGCAUCAGCCAUGGCGCGGUGAAUACGUUCCCGGGCCUUGUACACACCGCCCGUCAAGCCAUGGGAGCCGGGGGUACCUGAAGUCCGUAACCGCGAGGAUCGGCCUAGGGUAAAACUGGUGACUGGGGCUAAGUCGUAACAAGGUAACC